This 88-nucleotide non-coding RNA is filed under the name Paenibacillus sp. RNAcentral's name for it is "c-di-GMP sequence". It matches the Rfam family "c-di-GMP-I-GGC riboswitch aptamer". Lineage: Bacteria; Bacillati; Bacillota; Bacilli; Caryophanales; Paenibacillaceae. The record is from RNAcentral.
AAUGAACAAAGGCAAAUCCACCGAAAGGUGGAGACGCAAAGCCACGGGUCUGUAUUCCUUAAAAGGAAAUGAUAGCCGGGUUACUCUC